GUUGGGUUCAGGAAUCAUAAGCGAGUUGGUUUGGGAACGUGGAAUUGGUAACGGGACUGAAAUCAUGUCGUUGUACUGUUCGUGGCCACCAUUCUGUUCCGACCCUUCGAACUGUUUCCUGGUAGCCACCAAAAAAAGAAGUGUCCUGUUGACGCUGAUACGAGUAAGGAUAUUAAAUCAGAUUUCAACACUGCAAGCAUAUUUCGGACCCAGCCCAGUACUUCAGGAAAGCCAUGUAAAGACGUUACUUGUCUCGCUGUUUC
Molecule: long non-coding RNA, 263 nt
Organism: Cryptotermes secundus
Lineage: Eukaryota; Metazoa; Arthropoda; Insecta; Blattodea; Kalotermitidae
Exons: 3
Source: RefSeq, a predicted model, not a curated record